This 465-nucleotide ribosomal RNA is filed under the name uncultured bacterium. RNAcentral describes it as "partial 16S ribosomal RNA". It matches the Rfam family "Bacterial small subunit ribosomal RNA", at positions 338 to 795 of the family's 1533-position model. The record is from RNAcentral.
CCUACGGGAGGCAGCAGUGGGGAAUAUUGCGCAAUGGGCGAAAGCCUGACGCAGCGACGCCGCGUGAGUGAUGAAGGUCUUCGGAUCGUAAACCACUGUCAGCAGGGAAGAACGGUCACUGUGCUAAUCAGCAGUGCAUUGACGGUACCUGCAAAGGAAGCACCGGCUAACUCCGUGCCAGCAGCCGCGGUAAUACGGAGGGUGCGAGCGUUAAUCGGAAUUACUGGGCGUAAAGCGCUCGUAGGCGGUAUGUCAAGUCAAGUGUGAAAUCCCCGCGCUCAACGUGGGAACUGCCUUGGAAACUGGCAAGCUGGAGUGUGGUAGAGGAUAGUAGAAUUCCAGGUGUAGGGGUGAAAUGCGUAGAGAUCUGGAGGAAUAUCAGUGGCGAAGGCGACCAUCUGGACCAUAACUGACGCUGAGGUGCGAAAGCGUGGGUAGCAAACAGGAUUAGAUACCCUAGUAGUC